ACUAAAAGUCGUAACAAGGUAACCGUAGGUGAACCUGCGGUUGGAUCAUUAACAAAAUGAUAAGAGCCUGGGGUAAAACCCAGGUUUUUAUAAACAUCUGUGAACUGUAAUUGUAUCUGGUGGACAUGUAAUAUUUUAUGUGUCCACCGUUAUGAACUUUUAUAAUCUUGAAUUAGUUUUUAAAUUAUUAUUAAUUUUAAACAACUUUUGACAACGGAUCUCUAGGCUCUC
This 231-nucleotide unclassified non-coding RNA is filed under the name fungal sp. Its description in RNAcentral is "partial internal transcribed spacer region". The stretch from base 1 to 51 matches the Rfam family "Eukaryotic small subunit ribosomal RNA", at positions 1781 to 1831 of the family's 1831-position model. The record is from RNAcentral. Lineage: Eukaryota; Fungi.